UGGGGAAUAUUGCACAAUGGGCGCAAGCCUGAUGCAGCCAUGCCGCGUGUGUGAAGAAGGCCUUCGGGUUGUAAAGCACUUUCAGCGGGGAGGAAGGGAGUAAAGUUAAUACCUUUGCUCAUUGACGUUACCCGCAGAAGAAGCACCGGCUAACUCCGUGCCAGCAGCCGCGGUAAUACGGAGGGUGCAAGCGUUAAUCGGAAUUACUGGGCGUAAAGCGCACGCAGGCGGUUUGUUAAGUCAGAUGUGAAAUCCCCGGGCUCAACCUGGGAACUGCAUCUGAUACUGGCAAGCUUGAGUCUCGUAGAGGGGGGUAGAAUUCCAUGUGUAGCGGUGAAAUGCGUAGAGAUCUGGAGGAAUACCGGUGGCGAAGGCGGCCCCCUGGACAAAGACUGACGCUCAGGUGCGAAAGCGUGGGGAGCAAACAGG
RNAcentral lists this ribosomal RNA (429 nucleotides) under Chloroflexota bacterium. RNAcentral describes it as "Chloroflexi bacterium partial 16S ribosomal RNA". It matches the Rfam family "Bacterial small subunit ribosomal RNA", at positions 355 to 776 of the family's 1533-position model. Lineage: Bacteria; Bacillati; Chloroflexota. The record is from RNAcentral.